UGCAGCCUGCCUUUGAUUUCCCGCCC
RNAcentral lists this non-coding RNA (26 nucleotides) under Cricetulus griseus (Chinese hamster). The record is from RNAcentral. Lineage: Eukaryota; Metazoa; Chordata; Mammalia; Rodentia; Cricetidae.